GACGAACGCUGGCGGCGUGCUUAACACAUGCAAGUCGAACGGAAAGGCCCUGCUUUUGUGGGGUGCUCGAGUGGCGAACGGGUGAGUAACACGUGAGUAACCUGCCCUUGACUUUGGGAUAACUUCAGGAAACUGGGGCUAAUAUCGGAUAGGAGCUCCUGCUGCAUGGUGGGGGUUGGAAAGUUUCGGCGGUUGGGGAUGGACUCGCGGCUUAUCAGCUUGUUGGUGGGGUAGUGGCUUACCAAGGCUUUGACGGGUAGCCGGCCUGAGAGGGUGACCGGGCACAAGGGGACUGAGGGACGGACCAGAGUCCUACGGGAGGCAGCAGUGGGGAAUAUGACACAAUGGGCGGAAGUCUGAUGCAGCAGCGCCGCGUGCGGGAUGACGGCCUGCGGGUUGUAAACAGCUUUCGCCUGUGACGAAGCGUGAGUGACGGUAAUGGGUAAAGAAGCACCGGCUAACUACGUG
RNAcentral lists this ribosomal RNA (468 nucleotides) under uncultured bacterium. Its description in RNAcentral is "partial 16S ribosomal RNA". It matches the Rfam family "Bacterial small subunit ribosomal RNA", at positions 28 to 507 of the family's 1533-position model. The record is from RNAcentral.